Molecule: transfer RNA, 73 nt
Filed under: Stegodyphus mimosarum
Lineage: Eukaryota; Metazoa; Arthropoda; Arachnida; Araneae; Eresidae
Rfam family: tRNA
About the family: Transfer RNA (tRNA) molecules are approximately 80 nucleotides in length. Their secondary structure includes four short double-helical elements and three loops (D, anti-codon, and T loops).
Source: Rfam by way of RNAcentral
GCGUUCGUGGUGUAGUGGUCAGCACGCUCGACGCGUAACCGAGAGGUCCGUGGUUCGAUUCCCGGCGAAGACG